GAUGAACGCUGGCGGCGUGCCUAAUACAUGCAAGUCGAGCGAACAGACGAGGAGCUUGCUCCUCUGACGUUAGCGGCGGACGGGUGAGUAACACGUGGAUAACCUACCUAUAAGACUGGGAUAACUUCGGGAAACCGGAGCUAAUACCGGAUAAUAUAUUGAACCGCAUGGUUCAAUAGUGAAAGACGGUUUUGCUGUCACUUAUAGAUGGAUCCGCGCCGCAUUAGCUAGUUGGUAAGGUAACGGCUUACCAAGGCAACGAUGCGUAGCCGACCUGAGAGGGAGAUCGGCCACACUGGAACUGAGACACGGUCCAGACUCCUACGGGAGGCAGCAGUAGGGAAUCUUCCGCAAUGGGCGAAAGCCUGACGGAGCAACGCCGCGUGAGUGAUGAAGGUCUUCGGAUCGUAAAACUCUGUUAUUAGGGAAGAACAAAUGUGUAAGUAACUAUGCACGUCUUGACGGUACCUAAUCAGAAAGCCGCGGCUAACUACGUG
RNAcentral lists this ribosomal RNA (497 nucleotides) under uncultured bacterium. Its description in RNAcentral is "partial 16S ribosomal RNA". It matches the Rfam family "Bacterial small subunit ribosomal RNA", at positions 28 to 507 of the family's 1533-position model. The record is from RNAcentral.